GCAGCAGCAGCAGCAGCAGCAUCCGUCAGCGGCGCAGGAGGCAGCGGACAUGCGCACUGCGGACACCAGCAGGGUUUUCCAGAGUCGGAGCUGAAUGAAGAGACGCUAAAUGGAGAAGAAAGCGCUGCUGAUAAAGUCACAGAGGAUUAAAAAGCCGCAUGAAACACUCCGCGAUAAAAUGGAAAACACUAUAACUUUUGCAUGUUUGUGCUCACUGUUCCAAAUGGACUGGCACCUGCACAGAGACGUGGAGUUUAUAAUACAGGGGUGCAUUUGGGCUCUGUUGUCACAUUGUAGCUGUUUAUUAAAGUGAGGUUAUGUAACUAAGUGAAUGUACUUGUAGCAUUCACUCUGGAAUAGUUCAUUGUUGGCCAUCAGGAAUCCCAGCACCUGCCAGUCACAAUCAGUCACAGUCACUCUCAACACCUGAGCCAAUCACCGGCAGUCUCUCUCCCACCUGGAAUCCACCCCUGUUCCCUUGUUUGAAGUCCAUCAGCUUCAUACAGUCACAGACAGUCACUUGAACAACAGGAUCACCCCACACCACUCAUCUCUGGAAACCAUUCACUUUUUCACAAGCCUGGAAACCUGGAAAUCACAGCAUCAAAGAGGACGCCUUCAACUGCUUUUGGAUUUCUGGAUGCCACCCACCUGAACCAACAUUGUGCUGAACAUUGAAUAUUGGUGAGCAACUAAUGGAAAAUGUGAUGAAUGACUGAUGAUGAUGCUGAUGAGGAUGAGGAUGAUGAUAGUUAUGAAGCCUGUCUGCUGAACAGGUUAGAUUUGAACUGAUGGCGAGCUACCCUGGACCAAACUGGAAAACCGUCUGACAAGUUUCACCCCUCCCUUCCAGAAUGGUGUGGUAGGACUUGUUGGAGAUUUUGAAAUUGUUUGGAAUUGUUUUGUGAAUCGGCUUACCUUUCACUUCAACUAUGAAUUGUCAGUGGACUAUUGAUAUUGAACAAAGCACAUAGUCACUUUAUAUUGUUUAAAGUGAAGCUGCUUAUUGUGGUUUGGAUUGAUUGAAGGAUAGGUGAAGGUUUGAUUUUCUGAUUUUGAUUUUCUGUUCUUGUUUUGUAUUUUUGUGUUGUUAUUUUGAUCAUUGUUUUGCCUUGAUACAUUCAAGUAUUUUCUGUUGAUUAUUUUAAUACAUUACCGG
This is a long non-coding RNA of Amphiprion ocellaris (clown anemonefish), 1159 nucleotides long. NCBI's taxonomy places the organism in Eukaryota, Metazoa, Chordata, Actinopteri, Pomacentridae. The record is from Ensembl.